This 397-nucleotide ribosomal RNA is filed under the name uncultured bacterium. RNAcentral describes it as "bacterial SSU rRNA". It matches the Rfam family "Bacterial small subunit ribosomal RNA", at positions 29 to 429 of the family's 1533-position model. The record is from RNAcentral.
AUUGAACGCUGGCGGAAUGCUUUACACAUGCAAGUCGAACGGCAGCACGGACUUCGGUCUGGUGGCGAGUGGCGAACGGGUGAGUAAUACAUCGGAACGCGUCCUGUAAUGGGGGAUAACCUGGCGAAAGCCAGGCUAAUACCGCAUACGUCCUGAGGGAGAAAGCGGGGGAUCGCAAGACCUCGCGUUAUAGGAGCGGCCGAUGUCGGAUUAGCUAGUUGGUGGGGUAAAGGCCUACCAAGGCGACGAUCUGUAGCGGGUCUGAGAGGACGGCCCGCCACACUGGGACUGAGACACGGCCCAGACUCCUACGGGAGGCAGCAGUGGGGAAUUUUGGACAAUGGGGGCAACCCUGAUCCAGCCAUUCCGCGUGAGUGAAGAAGGCCUCGGUUGUAAG